RNAcentral lists this ribosomal RNA (320 nucleotides) under uncultured Prevotella sp. Its description in RNAcentral is "partial 16S ribosomal RNA". Lineage: Bacteria; Pseudomonadati; Bacteroidota; Bacteroidia; Bacteroidales; Prevotellaceae. The record is from RNAcentral.
GGAGUUUGGUCCGUGUCUCAGUACCAAUGUGGGGGACCUUCCUCUCAGAACCCCUACUGAUCGUUGCCCCGGUGGGCCGUUACCCCGCCGGCAAGCUAAUCAGACGCAUCCCCAUCCCUUACCGAUGAAUCUUUGCUCCUCGUUAGAUGCCUGCAAAGGAGAACAUAGAGUAUUAAUCCGACUUUCGCCGGGCUAUCCUCUAGUAAGGGGAAGGUUGGAUACGCGUUACUCACCCGUGCGCCGGUCGCCAUCAAAGGAAGCAAGCUUCCUUCAUGCUGCCCCACGACUUGCAUGUGUUAAGCCUGUAGCUAGCGUUCAUC